UGCUUUUGAUCCACUUGAUGGUUCUAGUAUUGUGGACACGAACUUUACAGUUGGAACCAUCUUUGGUGUAUGGCCCGGGGAUAAGUUAACCGGGAUCACAGGAAGAGAGCAAGUUGCAGCAGCUAUGGGAAUAUUUGGACCGCGAACUACAUACGUUCUUGCUCUUAAAGAUGUUCCCGGGACCCAUGAAUUCCUCCUCCUUGACGAAGGAAAAUGGCAACAUGUUAAGGAUACAACAGAAAUCGGAGAAGGAAAGAUGUUCUCCCCUGGAAAUUUAAGAGCCACAUUUGACAAUCCUGAUUACGCCAAGCUGAUCGAAUACUAUGUGAAGGAGAAAUACACCUUGAGAUACACCGGAGGAAUGGUGCCUGAUGUAAACCAGAUAAUUGUAAAGGAGAAAGGUAUAUUCACAAACGUGACAUCUCCAACAGCUAAGGCGAAACUUAGAUUGCUGUUUGAAGUGGCACCGUUAGGAUUCUUGAUCGAAAAAGCUGGAGGUUACAGCAGCGAUGGGAAACAAUCCGUCCUUGAUAAGGUGAUCGUUAAUCUUGAUGACCGGACUCAAGUUGCUUAUGGUUCCAAGAAUGAGAUCAUUCGAUUUGAAGAAACACUCUACGGUUCAUCAAGGCUUAAGGCUGGUGCACCAGUUGGUGCUGCUGUUUGAGGCUUGAGAAUGCAGCAGCCCUCUCGUAAAUCGUAAUGUUUGUUUGUGUUUCUUUUCGCGCUUUCUUUCUAGAGCAUCGCGAAAAUGCUGUUCCAUCAGGUUGUAAAAGGGAGAUAGGUUAAAGACAACAAGGUCUUGUUAAAGAAAUGGGAAUUGGAACAUUUUUUUUUGUAUAUUGUUGUUUCUAUUAACUGGUGUUCAAUAUGCUGGAUUUCAGAUAUAAAAGGUUAAAAAAAAGACAAAUAAUUUGUAGUAUUAUGUAAGAUAAAUUUAUGUAUUACAACUUGUCUGA
This 956-nucleotide unclassified non-coding RNA is filed under the name Hevea brasiliensis (rubber tree). The record is from RNAcentral. Lineage: Eukaryota; Viridiplantae; Streptophyta; Magnoliopsida; Malpighiales; Euphorbiaceae.